CACGUCAUAUUUCGAUAUGAUUCAAAAGACAGUUCUAAUUUAAAUCUAAUAAUUCUUCAAGAUAAUUGGAAAAAAAAAUUGAGAACUUCACAAUGCAAAUAAUUCACAAAUAUUCUUAUUGUAUUGAUUGAUUAUUUGCGUUGGAAGUAAGAAACCAGAAACAUACAUAUUAUGUAGCAACAAAUUUCCUAGUUGCCCAUGGGAAAAUGGGACUGCUUCAGGAUUUACAUAUAUGUAAACACGAGUCCACCUGAAAAAGUACUUCAUGCUGAUUGAAGCGAGGGUUGAAGUCAUUUUAAGAGGAGCUGCUUCAAUCAAUAAUUUUCAAUUUGCAGACUCAGCGCCAGGUACCAAAGCAAACAAGGAAAACAUUCUGUGCAGUUCUUUCAAUCUUGUCCCCAAUUACCUAGAAUGAACUAUGUUAAGAAACCAGAAACCGCAACAACAGCAAUGAAGAUUUCAAAAGGAUUUAAAAACAUCACAUCACGUAAAGAAUACUUGGCAAGAGUCGCUGUAAUUAAAUUCACUAACCAGAAUUGUAGAUUAAAAGGAGUUUAUGGUUCAGAGGACUGGUUUUGACCGAGCUCUGAGCUCAACAUAUGGUGGAGGAGCAUAUCAACUCUUUGACUACGAGUUUUUGCGCUGCAUCAAUCAAAACAAUAAGUUCAGAGUUCUCUUAGCACCUAAUAUGUGAAUUAAGUAUACUGCAGAAUUUCACUUCCAUAAACAGCUAGGGACAUACCCAACAUAUCGGCGCCGAGGCCUUGCAUCUCUUUCAUCCUAGAAUAAUAUGGAAAGUAAAAAAGAUAUCAUUUAGAUUCAAUAAUUAGAAAAACUGUGACUAUCACCGGGUGAUAAAUCUAAUAACAAACACCAUAAUUGUAGAACAAAAAAAUUGCAAAAACUCAAAACUUGAUAUGGAUAAGAAGCAGUAUCCUAAUGAUACAAACUGGAUAAUAGGGCUGUAAAUGAAACGAGUUGAGCUUUGAAGAAUUUAGGCUCGGAUCAUUAGAUUUUUACUGAGCUCGAGCUCAGAUUUGAAGGUCGAGCUCAGCUCAUUUAGAUUUAUUAGGCUCAAGCACAGCUCGCAUUUAACUCAUUUAUCAAACUCCUAAGCUCAGCCUGCAUUAAACUUGGUAAUGCAGCAUUCUAUAUCACGAUCUACUCACAAAUAAGACUCAGGUUUAGCUUUCUUAAAACAAGCAUACAAGUCUUCUUAAAAAACAGAAAAAGGUUUACAACAGGCACCCACCUUAUCUUCACCUUGUUCUGAUGUCUCUAGUUCCAUUUCAGCAAAGAAUGCCUCCAAGACAAAAGCAACAACCUGAAAUGCGUUGGAAACAUUUAAGUUAUACAUUUAGCAACAGCCUUAGAGUACGAAAAAUGUGCAUUCCAAUAAGCAAUCUAGCUAAGGAAAUAAGGACCCACAACAUAUCGGCCGAUAAUAUCACAAAGAGAAAGAUCCAAUUCAAUGACAAUUAAUUUCCACCUACCAUGUUACCAAUCAGAGGAGUGCAAUUCCAUAAUUUCUCAAACCUCACCCCUAUUAUGGUUAGGAAAUACUGACAAGAAAAUCAUCCAAUCUUCAACUUUUUCUAUUCAUGACCAUUGCACAGUGGGUUAGCAUUUAUCCAUGUUUUGAUGUUUGAUAACACAUUGAGUUGUUCAAACUUUGAAUGCUAGAUUGCUUUCUAAUGAUAACAUAUAUCUUCCUUCUUUAUCAUUCAGAUGAACCAUCCACACUAAUGUAUCAUUGAGAAGCUUCUGGAGUAGCCAGUCACUAAUUUUUCACAUGUUGUGAGGCUCAUUGGAUGAGAAGAAUACCCACUGUGCAAUUGAAAUGACCAUUUGCUUAUUUCAAUACUUGAAACGUAUAUCAUUUUACAAAGGAAUGUGUUUAAGGUAUUGAUGGAACUUUUCUUUUAGAAGUAAAGACUCAACAUCCACACCUCUGUUAUGAGUAAUAAGGAGAACAAGGGGUGUUGCAAAUAAAUAUAGGGUCUUUGGGUUUGAAAUUGUAAUAAAGGAAUAGUAUGGAAGUUAGUAGAGUGAGCUGGGAGUUAGUUAGAGAGUGGUGGGAACAGUUACUAGUUAACUGAAAUCAGUGUAGGAGCUGUAUAAAUACAGCUACCUGAGAAUGUAAUAGCAUCUGUAAUCAAUCUCAAGAAUCUAAUACAAAUCUUGUGUCUUUCUACUCUAUUUCUCUCUCAUUUCUGCUUCUAUUCCUCCCUAUUUCUCUCGAUUUCUAUUUCCUUUUCCUUCUUUGAAUCAGGAACUGCCUGUUAGGGAUUAAGAACCCUAACAAUUGGUAUCAGAGGUCCUUUGAUCAGUGGACAACAACUGGAAUUGCUCCCUCUAUGGUUAGUGGUAGUCUCCCGAGUACCAGAGUUCUUGCUAUUCUUAUCUUUCUCCCUUCUUUCCUUUCCUUUCCUCUCUUAUUCUCUCUAUUCGGACUCCGUUUCUUUUCUUCUUUUUCUCUUCCUAAUUCUUCUCAAUUUCUUCUCAAUCUCUUCUGCUCUAGCUUCUUCCUUCUUUCCCUGAAAUUUCUUCCCUUUCUUUCUGUUCUUCUUCUUGGUAGAACUCUAUCCUUGAAAUUCUUCUCUCCAAAUACCUCUCUUCCCUUUUUUUCUUUCUUUUUAUCUUUCUUCAAUUCUAGAAACCCCUCUUCUUUCCCCAAAUUCCUGCUUCCCUUCUUGAUAUUCUUCCAUUAUUUUAUUGAAAUUGUUCUCUAUUCUUGAUCUUUCUUCAAUCUUUUAUUUCCUUCUGUGCUUUCUCUUUCUUGCGACUCAUUCUCUUCCAUUUCUUCCUUCAAUUUCUUUGGUUUCUGAGAAGACACCAAGAGAAGAGCAUGGAACUAGAAAAGAUUAUUUUGGGUAUGCUUGAAAUCAUUGAAAGAUGGGAAAAGAAAAGGGAAGAUUCUGAAAAGUCAAUUCAAGAACUAACAAAAUUCCAGGUUUUUGAGCCAGAAUUAAAUGUUCAAAUCCAAGAACCUGAGAAUUCUUAGAAUAAUAGCAGUGAAAGGGGAUUGCUGAAUCAAAAGGAGACACAAAGGGUUUUAAUGUUAAGGAGGAGACCAACCUUCCUGAUGAUGCAACAUCUCCUCAUGGUGAUGGAGAAGAAGAAGAGGCUGAUAUUGUUGGUUAUGGCGAAGAGGAAGAGAUUGACAUUGUUGGUGACGGAGAAGAGGAAGAGGUUGACAUUAUUGGCGAUAUUAUUGAGAUGGACUAGAAUUUUAUCACUGAUAUAUCUAGUAUGGGUGAGGAUUCUGAGGAGGAGAAUGAUGAAGAUGGUGAUGAUGG
Molecule: unclassified non-coding RNA, 3299 nt
Filed under: Hevea brasiliensis (rubber tree)
Lineage: Eukaryota; Viridiplantae; Streptophyta; Magnoliopsida; Malpighiales; Euphorbiaceae
Source: RNAcentral